This 350-nucleotide long non-coding RNA is filed under the name Hordeum vulgare. Its description in RNAcentral is "long non-coding RNA (HVUL_LNC008408)". The record is from RNAcentral. Lineage: Eukaryota; Viridiplantae; Streptophyta; Magnoliopsida; Poales; Poaceae.
CAACAUAUAUCUUUGACAUCAUGUUGAGUUAUAAUGAAGUAAAAAAGUUCAAUAUAAAUAGGUCCCCUUAUCUAGGCACACAAGGCCAAUUUAUAUUGAUGCAUUACCUCGGAAGUUGAAUGGAUAAUAAAUAAGUAAUUUUAUUUUCACAUUAAUAAUAUUUGGAAAUUUGUUGGAUAACAUCACAUGAGGUGCGAAGGAACAAACUAUUUUUCCCAAUCCGAUGGUCUGGAUUCCUGAUAUUUUACGACUCUUUUUCCAAAAGUUAUGAUUUAUUUUGUAUAUGGCAUAUUAAUAAUUUCAAAAUGGAAUAGAAUGAAACAAAAUUACGAAAUGUCAUAAACUUGAAG